AUGGUGAGAGUGGCGCACGGGUGCGUAACGCGUGAGCAACCUACCUCUAUCAGGGGGAUAGCCUCUCGAAAGAGAGAUUAACACCGCAUAAUAUAAUGUACCGGCAUCGGGANAUUAUUAAAUAUUUAUAGGAUAGAGAUGGGCUCGCGUGACAUUAGCUAGUUGGUAGGGUAACGGCUUACCAAGGCGACGAUGUCUAGGGGCUCUGAGAGGAGAAUCCCCCACACUGGUACUGAGACACGGACCAGACUCCUACGGGAGGCAGCAGUAAGGAAUAUUGGUCAAUGGGCGGAAGCCUGAACCAGCCAUGCCGCGUGCAGGAUGACUGCCCUAUGGGUUGUAAACUGCUUUUGUCCAGGAAUAAACCUAGAUACGUGUAUUUAGCUGAAUGUACUGGAAGAAUAAGGAUCGGCUAACUCCGUGCCAGCAGCCGCGGUAAUACGGAGGAUCCGAGCGUUAUCCGGAUUUAUUGGGUUUAAAGGGUGCGUAGGCGGCCUAUUAAGUCAGGGGUGAAAUACGGUGGCUCAACCAUCGCAGUGCCUUUGAUACUGAUGGGCUUGAAUCCAUUUGAAGUGGGCGGAAUAAGACAAGUAGCGGUGAAAUGCAUAGAUAUGUCUUAAAACUCCGAUUGCGAAGGCAGCUCACUAAGCUUGGUAUUGACGCUGAUGCACCAAAGCGUGGGGAUCGAACAAGGAUUAGAUACCCUGGUAGUCCACGCCCUAAACGAUGAUACUCGAUGUUGGCGAUAGACA
RNAcentral lists this ribosomal RNA (752 nucleotides) under Sphingobacterium sp. U1. Its description in RNAcentral is "bacterial SSU rRNA". It matches the Rfam family "Bacterial small subunit ribosomal RNA", at positions 86 to 835 of the family's 1533-position model. The record is from RNAcentral. Lineage: Bacteria; Pseudomonadati; Bacteroidota; Sphingobacteriia; Sphingobacteriales; Sphingobacteriaceae.